This 446-nucleotide ribosomal RNA is filed under the name uncultured bacterium. RNAcentral's name for it is "bacterial SSU rRNA". It matches the Rfam family "Bacterial small subunit ribosomal RNA", at positions 330 to 792 of the family's 1533-position model. The record is from RNAcentral.
UCCAGACUCCUACGGGAGGCAGCAGUGGGGGAUAUUGCACAAUGGGGGGAACCCUGAUGCAGCGACGCCGCGUGGGUGAAGGAGCGUUUCGGCGCGUAAAGCCCUCUCGGCAGGGAAGAAGGAGGACGGUACCUGACUAAGAAGCCCCGGCUAACUACGUGCCAGCAGCCGCGGUAAUACGUAGGGGGCAAGCGUUAUCCGGAGUUACUGGGUGUAAAGGGGGCGCAGACGGCAGCGCAAGCCAGGAGUGAAAGCCCGGGGCCCAACCCCGGGACUGCUCUUGGAACUGCGCGGCUGGAGUGCAGGAGGGGCAGGCGGAAUUCCUGGUGUAGCGGUGAAAUGCGUAGAUAUCAGGAGGAACACCGGUGGCGAAGGCGGCCUGCUGGACUGCGACUGACGUUGAGGCCCGAAAGCGUGGGGAGCAAACAGGAUUAGAUACCCCAGUA